Molecule: microRNA precursor, 80 nt
Organism: Gorilla gorilla gorilla (western lowland gorilla)
Lineage: Eukaryota; Metazoa; Chordata; Mammalia; Primates; Hominidae
Source: Ensembl
AUCAUGUACUGCAGUUGCCUUUUUGUUCCCAUGCUGUUUAAGCCCAGCAUAGGCACCAAAAAGCAACAACAGUAUGUGAA